GGAAAAUGAACAUGUAAUGUGUCAUCUUUGACACUUGCAAGCAGACCGCAUUUCAAUCACAUUCAAUACACACCCAAGACUAACUGAAGUUACCAUUCUCAGCAUUCCAUUUCCUUAAAAUCUGUCAAAAUGACAUUUGGCACAGGACCAAUGUUUCCACUGUGUUCUAGCAUGCUACCUGGUCCUUAAAUCAUUUUACCUGUUAAGAUGACUAAUGCAUUUAUUCUAGCAAUGUAAGAGAUUUGUGAGCACUACUUUAGUCUUCUGGGGCAACAAGUUAUGACAGAAGAGAAGCUGCAUGUAUUAAAAUAUAGUUGACAAAUGGCCUACCAAAAGGAAGUAAGCAGAAACUUUUCUAAAUUAGGGGUGAACAUAGCCAUUAAGCUCAGUAAUGGUGGAUCAAAUUGAGCAAGUAGCCCACUUUAAAUGAAUUUGACAGAGUCAGACAACCAUGAGACGUUUCACCACAAAAACAGAAUUGAUGGUUACAUGCCACAGUAGCCCAUCUCCAGGGUACAAGCUUUCUCAGGUUUUUGUAAAACAGGAUUUGAUGUUUACAUGUCAACACAAAAUAAAUACUUUAGUAUCCCGAACGGGAUAUUGAUGGUCAGUGGCUUUAACGUAGAGCCAAUCUUGGGAUUUGUCAACCAGCAGCAAAGAAAAUAAAUUAUAUAUUUCAAAUCCAAAAGAAUAGGAACAUUCCCUUUUACUACAAAUUGCACUGGCAACCAACACGGUUCUCAACCAGCUAGCCAAAGGUAGACAUUAAACACACAGUAUUUCAAAACACAAGGAGGCACUUAAAGUACAAUAUUUUAUUGUUUUACAAGUAAUGCAGGGUAGCAUGAGCAGCAGCAUCUCCCUGGCCGACGCAAAAGCAUACAGUGGAAGCUUAAAGAAAGUGUCAGCAACAACUUGGAUUUGUCAUCUAAAGGAUGAAUCUACCAUUGCAAUUCUGUUGAUAGAUGAUUAGUACAAAUGAUUUCUAAAUCAGAACGCAAAGUGCAGGUGAGUGUAAAAGUUGCACAUUACAUCCCAGUAGACUUCCCUUGUGGCAGGGCACCUUUAGCAGGUUGUGAGUUUUUAGCAGGUGGGGAUAUGCUUGGUUCAGAGAUGCCAACGUCCUUGAGAGUAUCUCCGCUAUCAAAAUGGUAUAACCUCCCCAGUGGUGUGGCAGGUUUGGGAGUAGACAGUCUUGCCAUUCUCAUACACAGAUUUGUAAAUAUAUUGGGAUGAGAACUGACUAUUCAACGAUGCUGCCUUGAACGCUGAUGGAGCUGAGACAUUGGGUACUUUCAUUGGCCCCAUCAGACCCAAAAUCCUGAGAAACACCACUGCUGCUAAAAUCCAUGUUGCUUGAGGAGUUGGCCCUCCUGUUCGAGGCCUGUGGCUUCCGCCGAGGCAAGGGCGCCUGUGGCUUCCGCCGAGGCAAGGGCGCCUGUGGCUUCCGCCGAGGCAAGGGCGCCUGUGGCUUCCGCCGAGGCAAGGGCGCCUGUGGCUUCCGCCGAGGCAAGGGCUCCUGUGGCUUCCGCCGAGGCAUUUGAACCAGAUUUGAUGAGGUACCGACUUGAUGAGGUACUGUGGCCGGUUUCUUCACCUAAGGUAUUUGGGACAGUCGUUACGCUUGAUGAAGCAUUAUGGAUGGCCGCUUCCGAGGCAUUAUGGCCAGUUGCUUCCGCUGUCGAGGCACUGUGUCCAGCUUCUUCACGUAAGGCAUUUGGGCCAGUCGUGGCACUUGCUGAGGUAUUAUGGGUUGCUGCUUCUGCUGAGGCACUUGGGUCGGAUAUGUCACCCAAGGUAUUUGGGCCAGUCGUGACGCUUGAUGAAGCAUUGUGGCCAGUUGCUUCACCUAAGGUAUUUGUGCCAGUCUUGACGCUUGCUGAGGCAUUGUGGGUGACUGCUUCUGAGGCACGGGAUCCGGUUGCUCCACCUAAGGUAUUUGGGCCAGUCGUGACGCUUGCAGUGGCAUUACGGGUGGCUGCUUCACCUGCCGAGACAC
This is a long non-coding RNA of Oncorhynchus tshawytscha (Chinook salmon), 1999 nucleotides long. NCBI's taxonomy places the organism in Eukaryota, Metazoa, Chordata, Actinopteri, Salmoniformes, Salmonidae. The record is from Ensembl.